Molecule: long non-coding RNA, 1200 nt
Organism: Triticum aestivum (bread wheat)
Lineage: Eukaryota; Viridiplantae; Streptophyta; Magnoliopsida; Poales; Poaceae
Exons: 2
Source: RefSeq, a predicted model, not a curated record
CUCCUCUCCUAUGAAAAAAAAUCUAACCUCCUCGUACGGCAGUACCCAUCUCCCCCCAAUUUUUCCUAUUCGCCAUCUCCCCUCCUCCUCGAUUAUUGUCUCCCCUGAACUCCAUGAACGCGAUGCUGCCCGCCACCGCCGAUUUGUACUAGCUCCGGUGCUCUCCAGGACGUCGCUCACCAGACCGGCUGCCCCUCAAUCCUCUCCCCCGAUCCUCUGCAACCGCGACUUCCUCUGCGCCGCUGCACAUGCCCCUGUAGCAACCCUAGCCGCCAUGGGCCGCCGAUGCGACUCCCAGGUAGGCCAUCUACCUCGCGUCUCCCUAUGCACCGCUGGCAGCUCGGGCUCGACGGUGCUGAUCCGCCUCUGCUACCUCACCCCGCCGACAUCGACAUAGAUGGUUCAGUAAGCCACUUCUCUCCUCUGUUUGUGGUGACAUGGCCAUCGUCUGCUGGUCGACCUUUGACGGAAAUCGCGAUUGUGAUCUAUUCUACCUAGUGUUAGCCGCCCCAUCGUGCUAUUCUUAGGUAUUUUUGUUUCGUGCUUACAUCUUUCAAUGUGCAGUGCUAUCUAAUUCUGUAAAUGCAAGCCAGUUGUUUAUACUUUGGCUGAUCUAUUUGGAUGUAUGGUUGAGUGCAUAUGUGUAAUUCUGGAAGAAUGCUUGUGUCCUUCUUUUUAAUCUCAAUAGUCUGUUGUUGCUGCUAUGUGGGUGGCUGAAUCCUUACCGAUUUCCUAAUAUUCCUCUUUAUUGUGUACAUAAUCCUUAAUUUAAAUUCAUUUACAGGUUCUGAAACCGGCCUUGCUUCAGACAACAUGUGUGUAUUUGUUGGAUUGCAUUCGCAUCGUAGUAGUAGAUCGAUCUGUUGUGCGAUGAACAUCCAGUCAUCCACGCAGGGCCGUAGGAUGGUUAAUGGUGUGCCGGCAAGCACUACAAAAUUAGCCAGCGACGACGAGCAAUGUCGUAGCACUUCUCCUCGUGCUCACAUGUUGUGGAGACGCCGGCCUACUUGAGCUGCCCUCGAUCAGUGCCAACUCCGCGGGGGGAAACUAUGGUACUGACUUCUUUGGUUGUAAGGUUCUGUGUUCCCCUAGGAUCUAAGAUGGUGAAGUUACUGGAUGUAGGAACUACGCUAUACUAUGACUGUAACACGUUUUGUUGUUUCUUGACUUGUUUCCAUAAGAAUUUCAGUGCUUGAAUCA